Molecule: ribosomal RNA, 503 nt
Filed under: uncultured bacterium
Lineage: Bacteria
Description: partial 16S ribosomal RNA
Rfam family: Bacterial small subunit ribosomal RNA
Source: RNAcentral
AUUGAACGCUGGCGGCAGGCCUAACACAUGCAAGUCGAGCGGAAACGAAGGGAGCUUGCUCCCAGGCGUCGAGCGGCGGACGGGUGAGUAACACGUGAGAAUCUGCCCAUUAGUGGGGGACAACUCGGGGAAACUCGAGCUAAUACCGCAUAAUCCCUACGGGGGAAAGCAGGGGGCCUUUUGGCCUUGCGCUGAUGGAUGAGCCCACGUCGGAUUAGCUUGUUGGUGAGGUAAAGGCUCACCAAGGCGACGAUCCGUAGCUGGUCUGAGAGGAUGAUCAGCCACACUGGGACUGAGACACGGCCCAGACUCCUACGGGAGGCAGCAGUGGGGAAUCUUGGACAAUGGGGGCAACCCUGAUCCAGCCAUGCCGCGUGUGUGAAGAAGGCCUUCGGGUUGUAAAGCACUUUCAGCAGGGAGGAAGGCUUUGGCCGAAUAGGUUGAAGUACUUGACGUUACCUGCAGAGAAGCACCGGCUAAUUUCGUGCCAGCCGCCGCCGUAA